Molecule: transfer RNA, 61 nt
Filed under: Dipodomys ordii (Ord's kangaroo rat)
Lineage: Eukaryota; Metazoa; Chordata; Mammalia; Rodentia; Heteromyidae
Source: Rfam by way of RNAcentral
GGCGCUGUGGCUCAAGGGGUAGAGCGUCAGCUUUGAGCUGAAGAGCUGAGGGACAGCGCCC